CGGCAGCAGCCACGUGACCCUCUGGGUGUCCGUCCGAGCCGUGCUGGCCGCAGAGGCACCCGCACCAGACCGGCUGCUGCCCGCAGCCUCCACGGUGCCGCCCUCCGGAGAGACCACGCUCCAUGGGGAUGCCCGGCGGGGAGACGGUGUCGGAGCCGCCGGCGGCCCUGGGCGCCCUGGAGAAGCCGCCCGGCUCGGCCAUCCUGUGCACCACCUGCGGGAACGUGUGCAGGGGUGAGGUGCUGCGGGUGCAGAGCCAGUACUUCCACCUCAAGUGCUUCGUCUGCAAAGUGUGCGGCUGCGACCUGGCCGAGGGCGGCUUCUUCGUGCGCCAGGGCGAGCACAUCUGCACACGGGACUACCAGCGGCUGUACGGCACCCGCUGCUUCAGCUGCGACCGCUUCAUCGAGGGCGAGGUGGUGUCGGCGCUGGGCAGGACCUACCAUCCCGACUGCUUCGUGUGUGCCGUCUGCCGGUUGCCCUUCCCGCCCGGGGACCGAGUGACCUUCAACGGGAAGGAAUGCAUGUGCCAGAAGUGUUCCCUGCCCAAGUCCGCGGGUGGCAGCACGCACCUGUCCCAGGGCCUCUGGAGUUGUGGGGGCUGCGGCACAGAAAUCCAAAGCGGCCAGUCCCUGGUGGCUCUGGACAAGCACUGGCACCUGGGCUGCUUUAGGUGCAAGGCCUGCGGCAAGGAGCUGAGCGCCGAGUACAUCAGCAAGGACGGGCUGCCCUACUGCGAGGCCGACUACCACGCCAAGUUCGGCAUCCGCUGCGACGGCUGCGAGAAGUACAUCACGGGGCACGUGCUGGAGGCCGGAGAGAAGCACUACCACCCGCUGUGCGCGCUCUGCGUCCGGUGCGGCCGGAUGUUCGCCGAGGGCGAGGAGAUGUACCUCCAAGGCUCCUCCAUCUGGCACCCGGCCUGCCGACAAGCAGCCAGGACUGAGGACAAGAGCAAGAUGCAGAAGCAGGUUUGCCGGGGCACCACCCCCUGUGCCUUCCAGGAGACCAGGACGUCCUCCGAGAGCAUCAUCUCUGUGCCUGCGUCCAGCACCUCGGGGUCCCCCAGCCGCGUCAUCUAUGCGAGGCUGGGCGACGAGAUCCUGGACUACAGAGACCUGGCUGCCCUCCCCAAGAGCAAGGCCAUCUACAACAUCGACCGCCCCGACAUGAUCUCCUACUCGCCCUACGUCAGCCACGCGGGGGACCGGCAGAGCUGCCUCGAGUCGCCCCAGUUGCUCUCGCCAACGCUGACCGAGGGAGACCAGGACGACCGCUCCUCCAGGCAGUGCCGCACCUCCAGCCCCAGCUCCGCCGGGUCGGUCAGCCUUGGGCGCUACACCCCGACCUCACGGUCGCCCCAGCACUACAGCCGGCCAGCUGGUACUGUGAGUGUUGGUACCAGUAGCUGCCUGUCCCUGUCCCAACACCCAAGCCCUACGUCCGUGUUCAGGCACCAUUACAUCCCCUACUUCCGAGGCAGUGAAAGUGGCCGCAGCACCCCCAGCCUCUCGGUGCUGUCCGACAGCAGGCCGCCCGCCACCUACCAGCAGGCUCCGCGCCACUUCCACGUCCCAGACACUGGCGUCAAAGAUAACAUUUACAGGAAGCCGCCCAUCUACAAGCAGCACGCUUCGCGGCGCCUGGAUGGGGAGGACGGGGGUUCCGACCAGGACGGCAGGAAGCAGAAGGGCAGCUGGCUGAUUCUCCAGGGGGACGCGGACACGAGGACCAACUCGCCCGACCGAGACAGCCAGCCUCUGUCCCUCAGCAGCGGGGGCGACAGAGACCCUCUCCAGACGGGCCCGGGGGACGGCUUUUACUCACGAUUCCCCUAUUCCAAAUCUGACCCUCUCCCAGGACACGGGAAGAAUGGCUUGGACCACCGGAACGCCAAUCUGGCGCCCUGUGGAGCAGACCCGGAUGCCAGCUGGGGCACGCGAGAGUACAAGGUCUAUCCCUAUGACGCCCUCAUCGUCACAAACCGGAUCCGCGUGAAACUGCCCAAAGACGUGGACCGGACGAGACUGGAGGUGCCAGGACAGAGGCCUUGCUCUUGUUCAUACGUGUGAACCGCCCCCAGCGGCACCCAGGCCGGGGUCUCUGCGUCGCACACACCCAGUGGGUGCUUGCUGAGCCCGUGGGAACCAUGCCCCUUUCUCCCGCCCUUUCAUGUCUCCACUGUCCCCGGGAGGACUAUGAUGUGGCCGGGACACGGCGCUGCUGUCUGCAAUGACAGGCCCCGUCUCUGUGGGCGGAGCGGCUUCCUCCGCCUCCAGGAAGCCCCACCACAGCGCCCUGCCCGGCAGCUCGGGAUCCAUCUUCCUGCUGCUCCUUCAAGUUCGCAGCACAGGCCCGUGGCCCUUCCCGGCACAGACCGAGGCCAGCCUGCUGGGGCGGGAGACACCUGUCGCCCGCGGAGUUCCAGGAGGUGUUCGGGAUGAGCGUGGAGGAGUUCGACCGCCUGGCGCUCUGGAAGAGGAACGACCUCAAGAAGAAGGCCCUGCUGUUCUGAGGCCGCACCCACCCCCGCGCCGAGGCCGAGCCCACAGAGCCGGCGCCGCGGCACCACGCACUCCCUCCUGUUGCGCUGCCUCCAGCUCCUCUGUGCCCACAGGGCGGGCGGGCGCCUGGGCGGGCAGGGGGCCGAGGGUGGGGCGGGAGCAGGUCCCACAGCACCCCGUGCACCUGAGAUCCUGCCUGUAGUUUAGGGCCCUGGCGCCUGGCUUUGCACCGCCCCUUCCCCGCUGUGCUGGGCCCCAGCGAGACGCUGCAGAGUGGCUGUCCCCGGGGAGGGAAGGGCGAUUAGACAGCAGCCCGCCCUCCCCGCCCUGGGGGCACGGAGGGGACCAGGACCUGGGAUCUGAGGGGGCUUGUCAGGGACAGCCCCGGACACCAUCACAGGGCGCCUGUGUCCGCUAGCCCCGGAGGGCACUGGCUCGUGCCCACAGCCCGGGGGCCCAGGGCGGUGCCAAGUGUGGGGUGACGAGUGUGGCCGCUGGUGGUGGCACAGGGCCCUCCUCCGGGCCCUCAAGCGCACGGUUCUCCUACGUCACCCCGAUGCCUAAAGGAUAUCUUUAAAGUAACACAAAGCUUUAUUUUACUAAGAAGUGUAGCCUGUGGGCCCUGAGGCGAUAUUAUGGAGAGUUUAGUUUGCAGCCCGCUGGGGGCUCCGGCCUCAGCCCCGCCCCUCCGCGCCCUGUGGUCUCCGUUCUCCGUGUCCCUAGUACAUGGACUCCUCGUCUGUUUUCUUUUUGCUUCUCUUUCUUUCGUGCCUGUCACACGGGUCCCCUGAAAGGCAGAGCCCCCCCCUCCGCCCCCCCCUCCCGGCCCCAGUGCUGUGUGUACGUGCGUGUGAAGUCUGCGUCCACGCGAUGUCCUCGCUGUUAUUCUCCACGUCUCGGGGCGGAUCCACCUCCCCGCCGGCCAGGGCCCCGGAAUAGGACUUCCGUGGACUCGGCCCGGCGCCCCGUGUGGCUUUUUGGUGACGUGGCCAGCGGCGCCCCCCCGCCCCACCAUGAAACACGCACCUGUGUCCCGGAGCCAUGCCGCGUGGGUGGUCCUGAGGCGGACACCGGCCCUCGGCGCAGAGGCUGCGACACUGUCCGAUCGGCCGGUUGGCAGAGCCUGGGCAGAGGCCUGUGGUCGCGCUGAGACGCGCGGGCUGUCACCAGGGGUGGGCUGGUGCGGUCCCUGCCGCCGUGUUUGUGAAGUGCCUCGAGAGGCCAGUGGGAACCAGCAAGGCGUCGCCCGAGUCCGUUCCCGGCGUCCUGUGGAGCCGCAUCCCGUGUGUCCUGGCCGCCCCGCCCGUGAGUCAGCCUCGCUCAGCUUCCUCCCAGCCCCGCACAUGCCAGGCUGUGGCGCCCGGCUCCGCGCCAGCCCGGCCCGGCAGGGAAGGGAAGUUCUAGCACCUAACGCGCUUCCGUCCACUUAGCGAGCUGAGCCCAAGUGACUGGAAAUCCCCGUCUCAUGCGUGCGAUGUGGGGCCGGGAACCUGGGAAAUAAAGGACGAUGUGUUCUACCUG
Molecule: RNA transcript, 4025 nt
Organism: Myotis myotis
Lineage: Eukaryota; Metazoa; Chordata; Mammalia; Chiroptera; Vespertilionidae
Gene: ABLIM2
Gene name: actin binding LIM protein family member 2
Exons: 24
Source: RefSeq, a predicted model, not a curated record